Molecule: ribosomal RNA, 507 nt
Filed under: uncultured bacterium
Lineage: Bacteria
Description: partial 16S ribosomal RNA
Rfam family: Bacterial small subunit ribosomal RNA
Source: RNAcentral
GACGAACGCUGGCGGCGUGCCUAAUACAUGCAAGUCGAACGCAUUUUCUUUCACCGUAGCUUGCUACACCGAAAGAAAAUGAGUGGCGAACGGGUGAGUAACACGUGGGUAACCUGCCCAUCAGCGGGGGAUAACACUUGGAAACAGGUGCUAAUACCGCAUAAUUCCAUUUACCGCAUGGUAGAUGGGUGAAAGGCGCUUUUGCGUCACUGAUGGAUGGACCCGCGGUGCAUUAGCUAGUUGGUGGGGUAACGGCCUACCAAGGCUGCGAUGCAUAGCCGACCUGAGAGGGUGAUCGGCCACACUGGGACUGAGACACGGCCCAGACUCCUACGAGAGGCAGCAGUAGGGAAUCUUCGGCAAUGGACGCAAGUCUGACCGAGCAACGCCGCGUGAGUGAAGAAGGUUUUCGGAUCGUAAAACUCUGUUGUUAGAGAAGAACAAGGAUGAGAGUGGAAAGUUCAUCCCUUGACGGUAUCUAACCAGAAAGCCACGGCUAACUACGUG